This 40-nucleotide ribosomal RNA is filed under the name Leptographium lundbergii. RNAcentral's name for it is "partial 28S ribosomal RNA". Lineage: Eukaryota; Fungi; Ascomycota; Sordariomycetes; Ophiostomatales; Ophiostomataceae. The record is from RNAcentral.
UUGACCUCGGAUCAGGUAGGACUACCCGCUGAACUUAAGC